CAGCCGCCGCGGGAAUACGUAGGGUGCAAGCGUUAAUCGGAAUUACUGGGCGUAAAGCGUGCGCAGGCGGUUUGUUAAGACAGAUGUGAAAUCCCCGGGCUCAACCUGGGAACUGCAUUUGUGACUGGCAAGCUAGAGUAUGGCAGAGGGGGGUGGAAUUCCGCGUGUAGCAGUGAAAUGCGUAGAUAUGCGGAGGAACACCGAUGGCGAAGGCAGCCCCCUGGGCCAAUACUGACGCUCAUGCACGAAAGCGUGGGGAGCAAACAGGAUUAGAUACCCCCGUAGUCCCUGUCUCUUAUAC
RNAcentral lists this ribosomal RNA (301 nucleotides) under uncultured bacterium. RNAcentral describes it as "partial 16S ribosomal RNA". It matches the Rfam family "Bacterial small subunit ribosomal RNA", at positions 509 to 807 of the family's 1533-position model. The record is from RNAcentral.